CCGAGUUAUACAACUCCUCAACCCCUGUGAACAUACCUAUAAACGUUGCCUUCGGCGGGAUACAGCCCGCGCCCGUAAAAAGGGACGGCCCCGCCCGAGGACCCCUAACUCUGUUUUUAUAAGUGACUUUCUGAGUAAACAAGCAAAUAAAUCA
RNAcentral lists this unclassified non-coding RNA (154 nucleotides) under soil metagenome. RNAcentral's name for it is "partial internal transcribed spacer 1". The record is from RNAcentral.